Molecule: ribosomal RNA, 253 nt
Filed under: uncultured bacterium
Lineage: Bacteria
Description: partial 16S ribosomal RNA
Rfam family: Bacterial small subunit ribosomal RNA
Source: RNAcentral
UACGGAGGGUGCAAGCGUUAUCCGGAUUUACUGGGUUUAAAGGGUGCGUAGGUGGAUUUGUAAGUCAGUGGUGAAAUCUCCGAGCUUAACUCGGAAACUGCCAUUGAUACUAUAAGUCUUGAAUUAUCUGGAGGUGAGCGGAAUAUGUCAUGUAGCGGUGAAAUGCUUAGAUAUGACAUAGAACACCAAUUGCGAAGGCAGCUUACUUCACGAUCAUUGACACUGAGGCACGAAAGCGUGGGGAGCAAACAGG